Long non-coding RNA from Drosophila pseudoobscura, 1845 nucleotides. RefSeq lists it as uncharacterized. The transcript has 2 exons. The record is from RefSeq and is a predicted model, not a curated record. NCBI's taxonomy places the organism in Eukaryota, Metazoa, Arthropoda, Insecta, Diptera, Drosophilidae.
CAUAGGAUCCAAUGUGAUCAUGUUUGAUUGUUCCUACAGAAUUAUCUACAUAUGUAUGAUCUGUAGACCGAAUCCAGUUUACUCAAUAGCACUUCGAGGGCUAUCAACGGCCGUUUCUGGUCUUACGACAUGCGUUCUGCACUAACCUUGUGGCCGACGACUUUUUUGUUGAUAAAAAUAAUAACAAAUUGAAAUUCCAGCCAUAUAAGAGCGCUAAAGCUAACGAACUCCGUGGAAGCCCAGUGCGGGGGCUCCGGCAAGGCUAUGAAAGAGCUACGAAAAUUAUGCGAGACGUAAAAAAGAGGAACAAAAAAUUUAAAGUCGCAGAGCGUUAAAAAUAAAAUAUCAGACACGCAACAGCGACGCCAGCGAAGGCAACGUCGGCAGCAACUGCGCUGGCAGUGUUUUCUAUAGAAAACGAAAAUUAUUUCCUGUUUUUAGUAAAUAGCAACAAUUGCGCAGUCAGCGUCGCAGUCAGCGUUGAUGGUUGAGGUGGGAAAAUACAUACAUACAAACGUAUUGCCCUGCAGCCAGAGAUAACAGAAAAAGUUGGGCAAAAGACAUGCCAAUCAAGGUGUAUUGAGACAAGGUGCGACUCCAGAGAAUGCUCCCAUGACAGUUGUCUAUUUUGUUUCCACUGCGCGUACAUAGAUAGAAUAAAAGAGGGGCACAAAAAUAGGCAACUCAAACGGAGAAUAAAUCCACACUCAAUACAAAGGCACCUUGCACUGCAGUGCACUGCACUGCUCCCUCUGCGUGGGGGUGGCAUAACAUGGCGUGGUGAAUAGCCUCAACAAUCAGUAGGGGAGAGAGAGGCUGAUGCAGAGGGAACCGUUGCAUAGUGCCCCGUUGGAAAUGACGCAGUGCAAAAGACAAAGGUGGCCAAAACAAUGCGUACAAGAGCUGAUUGAUAACAUGGUGCGUCUUACAAAAUGAACAAUGUAAAGCCAGUGGAACAGAGGGAGCUACAGCUAGAGAGGGAAAAUGUUUACAUAUCUAUGUACACAUAUAUGUAAGUUUGCUACAAGGUUGAGUGUGAGAGCGAGUGCAUUGUACAGCCAUAUGGGGAAAAGGACCAUAAAUUGAGCAUGUGGAAGCAAAUCUAGCAAGGGGGAAAAGGAACAGACUAAAGUUUUGUGUAUUUUUGGCACGCACUCACUCCAUCUCGCCAAAAAUGUAUGUUUAUCUCAAGGUAUGUUUAUAUAGGAUAGGGUGAAGCAUUUCCACACAUAUGUAUGUAUGUACAUAAUUUUGCAACUCUAACUCUAUUUAUAUUUAGUGGCAAAGGUUCCCAAUAUCAUUUAUCACGGAGAGCGCUCUCUGAAAAUUCCCCACCCUACAUUAAUAUACACUUUGGUUUAUCCCAUUUUGCUUUGGUGCAUUCAACCUGGGGGAAAGGAAAGGAACGGGAAGACAGGUGCACGACAAGCACAUUUACCGUUUGCGGUGUGAUCAACAGCUGUCUGAAUUCCAAUUGCAAUUGUUUAAGUUAACCCAAUGGGAUGGAUGCCCUCAUCCCCCUGCCGAUGAUGGAGUGAAACCUGAAUGCGCCAUCAUUAGCAGCAGGCCGUGAAAGUACUGCAGUCGUCGGGUUAAGGAGGGAGGAAACUCCAGCUAACCGAUGCACCAUCACCACCCCUCUAUCGAAAGAGUCGUCGUCGUCAUGAUUAACAAAAACAGUUGAUUGAACUUUGUUUGGCCUCCACACACACGACACGCAUCCACACAUCUACAAGUCCCAUCGCGUUUGCUCAUGCCCGUGUCUGUGUCGCCUGUGUGCUCUUGAACUGCCCCACUUUGCCGUGUGUGUGGGGCUCAUAAUAUAUUUUCGGGUGUUAAUGACCA